UCAUAUUAUUUUAGGUUU
RNAcentral lists this microRNA (18 nucleotides) under Corchorus olitorius. RNAcentral describes it as "cin-miR-4208-". Lineage: Eukaryota; Viridiplantae; Streptophyta; Magnoliopsida; Malvales; Malvaceae. The record is from RNAcentral.